RNAcentral lists this ribosomal RNA (413 nucleotides) under uncultured bacterium. RNAcentral's name for it is "bacterial SSU rRNA". It matches the Rfam family "Bacterial small subunit ribosomal RNA", at positions 107 to 518 of the family's 1533-position model. The record is from RNAcentral.
UGAGUAACACGUAUGCAACCUACCUUUAACAGGGGAAUAACCCGUUGAAAAACGGACUAAUACUCCAUAACACAGGGGUCCCGCAUGGGAAUAUUUGUUAAAGAUUAAUCGGUUGAAGAUGGGCAUGCGUUCCAUUAGCUUGUUGGUGAGGUAACGGCUCACCAAGGCCACGAUGGAUAGGGAACUGAGAGGUUUAUCCCCCACACUGGAACUGAGACACGGUCCAGACUCCUACGGGAGGCAGCAGUGAGGAAUAUUGGUCAAUGGAGGCAACUCUGAACCAGCCAAGUCGCGUGAAGGAUGAAGGUCUUAUGGAUUGUAAACUUCUUUUGCAAGGGAAUAAAGUGGGGGACGUGUCCUCCUUUGCAUGUACCUUGCGAAUAAGGAUCGGCUAACUCCGUGCCAGCCGCAGC